Molecule: long non-coding RNA, 2512 nt
Organism: Phyllostomus hastatus (greater spear-nosed bat)
Lineage: Eukaryota; Metazoa; Chordata; Mammalia; Chiroptera; Phyllostomidae
Exons: 3
Source: RefSeq, a predicted model, not a curated record
UGGGACCUAAUCCCCGCUUGGUCACUUAGUAGCCAUGUGGCCUCAGUUCCCCUAGCUUUAACUUCCCCUUCUGUAAGAGUAGGGAGGCCAUCGGCCCCUCCCCUAUGCUGUGGGGAUGUAAGUGACGUCAGAGAAGUGAAAACAAUUCAUGGUGUCUGAUACAUAGUAGGUGCUCUCGACAUUAGAGGUGGAGACUGACAGUUCCAUCGAUGAUGACACGCAGGACAUAAAAGCCACAGGGAGGGACAAACAAGCCAGGAAAGGAGAGGGUUUAGAAGGCGGGGCAGUCCUGGUGUUGAGAAUGGGGCUCCCUGAGCCCAGAAGACCCGCUCAAGGCACAGCGGACGUGGAACACGAUAGGAGUAUUCCUGAAAACACCAGAAAACGUUUCCUUUGAAGGGAGUAAAAUUUAGGAAUACAUGGGCAAUAGAGUGUAUUCCAAUUCAACUGCGUCUGGGGUGCCACAGAGUUGACUAUCUGCAUCUCCACAUCUAGCUGCUGAGUUCUACUAAGAAGAAAGAGAAAGAAACAAAACCAGAUGGUCACUGCGGAGCACUGCUUCCCACAGGCCUGCGUGUGGGACAGCGCCUAAGACUGUGUUUCCUUCAAAGCAUUUGUCAUUGCACACCACGUCCUUUGUAACCAGUGGUAGUAAGUUCUCCUGUGACUGAGGCCAAGCUGGUGCUGCUGUUGACAGAGUUAGUAUAUGCAAAUGAUCCUCUAGGAUGCAGAGUGUCCUAGGGCAAAAGGGCCAGGAUGCCCUUCUGCCUCAAGCCUUCCUUAGGGACAACAGAACCUGACCAUGUUCCUUCCAGAGUUCAAGUGUGGCCUUGGGCUUUUGUUUGGGGGUCACUGGGAAGUUCCAGAAUUCAAGCUGUGACCAAGAAAAAGAGGCUGAAGGCAGGUCAGCAGGUGAUGAGCGAAAGGAUUGUGCCAACGAGGCCUGGCAUCGGGUCUUAACUACUUAAAGAUUACAGAAAAGAGAGACAGAGUGGGAAGACAGGUGAGGCCAGUCCCUCCGAGAGCCUGGGUUGCUAAGACUUGAACAAAGGAGACCAGAGCAGUGGCCUGAGGGAAGGAACUUGGCAACGUCACCAUGUUAGGUCCAUUGAAGCAGUGUGAGUGUCAUUCCAUGUAACUAACUAAUUCAGAAGGAAAUGGCCCCGGCUGGGUAGCUCAGUUGGUUAGAGCAUUGUCCCAAUAUCUCCAGGUUUGAUCCCUGGUCAGGGCACAUACAAGAAUCAACCAAUGAAUGCAUAACUAAGUGGAACAAUGAAUCGAAGUUUCUCUCGCCCUCUCUAAAAAUCAAUAAAUUAAAAAAGAGAAAGAAAAAUGAAGCAAGAUGCUAGGGCAUUGUUUAAAAAAAAAAGAAGGAAAUGCGUGAAAAGAUUUGCCAAGCUUAUUGACUAUGAUGGCAGAACAGAAGAGCAACUGACCAAUAAUACCAUUUGCUUGUUUUCAUAGCCCUUUAAUCUUGCUUUGUGAGGUUAUUAUGUUCUUUCAUGUUAUAAGUCUUAUCUUCAAGCGGGAACACUCAGAGACCCAGAUUCUCAUCUCCUGUGCCCUGUUUACUGGGCCAACAUUGUAGCUGGCUGAAAAUCAACUCCUGUUUGGUCCUGGGAAAUAAGUUUCAAGAAAAUAAGAGCUGCAAACGCCCCUGUGGUUUCCGUUUCUAUGUGUAGCCGUUUACUCCCUGGCGGGCACCACAGCGGGAAGAAUGCCUCCGGGAUGGAAGGCUCAUCAGCGACAUUUCUCCACCCUGCGGGAACGACAGAACAUCGGCUCUUCCUUGGCUGAGCUCGCCCACACUUUUCAGAGUAAAAUGAGACUGUUUCAAGGCCUUUCUUGGUCAGAGAUUUUACGUAUCUAAGGAUGGUAUGUGUCUCGAGCUCUGCUUUUUAUUGGACGUGGCCGACCCAAGCACACGGCUAGCAGUUUUCAUAGAAACACCAGAGAAUGAGCUUUACUUUUGGUUACCUGGACGUUGCCUUCUCCCGAUCGGCAAGGGAGAUAAACGCUCAUCGCCGAAGACACUCGUGUUAGACUGUUAGGCUGAUGGGUUGGAAUGGAGCGAACAUCUGAGGUGUUGAAGAGUCGCUCAUUAAAAUAACCCUGUUACUAACAGUCAUGCUGUAAACCAAGCUCUUUAUAGAUUGAGCAAUCAAUACUACAAGGCUGUGAUAGAUUUUCUAGGUAACAGAAUAAAAUAAAAGAAAUUACAUCUUACAGGGUCAUUAACACCCAAUAAGGAUAAACUGAAUUCCUUUUUUUCCCCUCCUUCUGAUACGAUCUGGUUGGGCUUUAAAGAUGUUAGCAAUUCCAUUAGCAGAAAGCACAGCAUCUUGGGAACAAAAUCCCUGGAAUGGUAGGGGAGAUGAACUUUAAAGGUAGGCUUGCUAACCACAGUAUCUUUUAGGAGAAAAGAUUCUGCCCCCCUCUCAAAAGGCAUGUGUCACCUGAGAAAAACUAAGUGAGCCAAACUUGUGUAGCUUGUCUAUUACAUAAGAAUUCA